Molecule: ribosomal RNA, 424 nt
Filed under: uncultured prokaryote
Description: bacterial SSU rRNA
Rfam family: Bacterial small subunit ribosomal RNA
Source: RNAcentral
UCGAGGAUCUUCGGCAAUGGGCGCAAGCCUGACCGAGCGACGCCGCGUGCGAGAUGAAGGCCUUCGGGUUGUAAAUCGCUGUCAGUGGGGAGGAAAUGCCGGUGGGUUCUCCCAUCGGUUUGACCUAUCCGCAGAGGAAGGACGGGCUAAGUUCGUGCCAGCAGCCGCGGUAAUACGAACCGUCCAAACGGUAUUCGGAAUCACUGGGCUUAAAGGGUGCGUAGGCUGCCCGGUAAGUUGGGUGUGAAAGCCCUCGGCUUAACCGAGGAAUUGCGCCCAAAACUGUCGGGCUCGAGGAAGAUAGAGGUGAGCGGAACUAAGGGUGGAGCGGUGAAAUGCGUUGAUAUCCUUAGGAACACCAGUAGCGAAAGCGGCUCACUGGGUCUUCUCUGACGCUGAGGCACGAAAGCUAGGGGAGCGAACG